UUGUUUCAAACUCGAACUUAGAAUAACUAAGCCCGUAGGCCUUUUAUGAUCGAGUGAGUCAUUGCUCGAACUCGAAGUAAGAUAGCCCUUAGGCUUUAAUAAUUGAGUGAGUGAUUGUUUCGAACUCGAACUCAGAAUAAUUAAGCCCGUUGGCCUUUUAUGAUCGAGUGAGUGAUUUCCCGAACUCGAAGAAAGAUAGCCCUUAGGCUUUAAUAAUUUAGUGAGUGAUUGUUCCGAACUCGUACUCAGAAUAACUAAGAAUGUAGGCCUUUUAUGAUCGAGUGAGUGAUUUAUCGAACCCGAAGUACGAUAGCCCUUUGGCUUUAAUAAUUGAGUGAGUGAUUGUUUCGAACUCGAACUCAGAAUAUCUAAGCAUGUAGGCCUUUUAUGAUCGAGUGAGUGAUUGAUCGAACUCGAAGUAAGAUAGCCCUUAGGCUUUAAUAAUUGAGUGAGAGAUUGUUUCGAACUCGAACUCAGAAUAUCUAAGCAUGUUUGCCUUUUAUGAUCGAGUGAGUUAUUGCUCGAACUCGAAGUAAGAUAGCUUUUAGGCUUUAAUAAUUGGGUGAGUGAUUGUUUCGACCUCGAACUCAAAAUAUCUAAGCCUGUAGGGCUUUUAUGAUCGAGUGAGUGAUUGCUCGAACUUGAAGUAAGAUAGCCCUUAGGCUUUAAUAAUUGAGUGAGUGAUUGUUUCGAACUCGAGCUCAGAAUAUCUAAGCCCGUAGGCCUUUUAUGAUUGAGUGAGUGAUUGCUCGAACUCGAAGUAUGAUAGCCCUU
Molecule: long non-coding RNA, 774 nt
Filed under: Nicotiana tabacum (common tobacco)
Lineage: Eukaryota; Viridiplantae; Streptophyta; Magnoliopsida; Solanales; Solanaceae
Description: long non-coding RNA (NTAB_LNC006378)
Source: RNAcentral